RNAcentral lists this long non-coding RNA (1032 nucleotides) under Oryctolagus cuniculus (rabbit). RNAcentral describes it as "lncRNA (ENSOCUG00000030301.1)". Lineage: Eukaryota; Metazoa; Chordata; Mammalia; Lagomorpha; Leporidae. The record is from RNAcentral.
GCUUUGUGUUUUGGCUGCAGCGUCCAUCUCUUGGAGUCCGUGUGUCGUCCACAAGGGCCGAGGCGGUUCUGCUGUGAUUUCUCCCCCGGUGGUCAGCCAGCCACCCGGUACCAUUUUUGUAAAGUCUUUCCCCCUGAGUUUGAAGUGACACCCAUCCCCGUGUGCUGUCACGUGUGGAGAGUUCGCGCCCGGCAGACGGGAGGUGCCGCGUGCCCGCUGAGCCAGCUUUUCACACGGCCUGCUCGUGGGCAGCGUCCCAAGCGAGUCUGCUUUGGUAAGUGUGGCUGCGCUGAUUUGGCCUCAGUCUUGUCUCUUGGGGGCUCAGUGCCCCGCGGAGCAGUGAGGUGGCUCCGAGGGCGUGGCCACGCCAGCGCAGACCCCUCCCUGGCUAAGCCGGGGGGUGGUUUAAACGCACCACGCCCUCUUUUGGUGCAGGCAUGUGGCAGUGGUGUCUGGUGGCCACAGCGACUGCUGCCCUCACCUUUCACUGGGAUUUUUUUUUUUAAGAUUAUUUAUUUGAAAGACAGAUUUAUAGAGAGGCAGCGAGAGAGGUCUUCCAUCCGCUGGUUCUCCCCAGUUGGCUGUAAUGGCCGGAGCUGGGCUGAUCCGAAGCCAGGAGCCAGGAGGUUCUUCCGGGUCUCCCACGCGGGUACAGGGGCCCAAGCACUUGGGCCAUCUUCUGCUGCUUUCCCAGGCCACAGCAGCUUGCCGGAUCGGAAGUGGAGCAGCCGGGACUUGAACUGGCACCCGUGUGGGAUGCCGAUCCUGUCCGCACAGCAGCUUCCUAGGUCCCCGCCCCGCGCAGGGCGGGUGCCGAGUUCGCCUUUCGCCUGGACUUCAGCGGAGUGUGCUCACGAGGUCACAGGGCCGCUGCUCCUGGCACUGCAGUGCUACCAGCAGGCCCUGUGCACUUGGGAGCAGCAGCGGGGCCGUGCGCGAGGCCUGCUGUGCGCACCCAGGUCGGGAAGUGAGCUGCGGCGCGGAGCCCGCCGCCUGGCCUCCUGGGGCAGGGCUGGCUCCGGUGGCAGCUGA